CGUAGGCGGCUCGCUAAGUCGGGUGUGAAAACUCUGGGCUCAACCCAGAGCCUGCAUUCGAAACUGACGAGCUAGAGUUCUGGAGGGGAAAGCGGAAUUCCUGGUGUAGCGGUGAAAUGCGUAGAUAUCAGGAGGAACACCGGUGGCGAAGGCGGCUUUCUGGACAGAAACUGACGCUGAGGCGCGAAAGCUAGGGGAGCAAAC
This 204-nucleotide ribosomal RNA is filed under the name uncultured bacterium. Its description in RNAcentral is "partial 16S ribosomal RNA". It matches the Rfam family "Bacterial small subunit ribosomal RNA", at positions 570 to 773 of the family's 1533-position model. The record is from RNAcentral.